Molecule: long non-coding RNA, 369 nt
Filed under: Rattus norvegicus (Norway rat)
Lineage: Eukaryota; Metazoa; Chordata; Mammalia; Rodentia; Muridae
Description: long non-coding RNA NONRATT029721
Source: RNAcentral
ACCUUUCCAGCCAGGUGAGCCAGAGGAUGGAACUGACCCAGAAGGUCCUUGCUGAGUCCUUCCUCAAACCCUUCUAUGCUCUCACUUCCCUCACAGAACGGGAGGAUGGAGCGCUGUUGGCACCACCACCGCCUCCUCCUCCUCCUCCACCGCCACCUCCCCCAGCUCCCACAGCGCUGGUCAGUACCCCCCAACCACCGAUGUCCCCUGACAGCCUCUGUUCAGGGAGCCCCUAAGGAGGUGGUUGACCCCUCCAGCGGCCGGGCCACUCUGCUUGAGUCCAUCCGCCAAGCCGGGGGCAUUGGCAAGGCCAAGCUGCGCAGUGUCAAGGAACGCAAGCUUGAGAAGAAGAAACAGAAGGAGCAGGAG